ACGAACGCUGGCGGCAGGCUUCACACAUGCAAGUCGAACGGAUCCUUCGGGAUUAGUGGCAGACGGGUGAGUAACGCGUGGGAACGUACCCUUUGCUACGGAAUAACUCAGGGAAACUUGAGCUAAUACCGUAUGUGCCCUACGUGGGAAAGAUUUAUCGGCAAAGGAUCGGCCCGCGUUGGAUUAGCUAGUUGGUGUGGUAAUGGCCUACCAAGGCGACGAUCCAUAGCUGGUCUGAGAGGAUGAUCAGCCACACUGGGACUGAGACACGGCCCAGACUCCUACGGGAGGCAGCAGUGGGGAAUAUUGGACAAUGGGCGCAAGCCUGAUCCAGCCAUGCCGCGUGAGUGAUGAAGGUCUUAGGAUUGUAAAGCUCUUUCACCGGUGAAGAUAAUGACGGUAGCCGGAGAAGAAGCCCCGGCUAACUUCGUG
This 432-nucleotide ribosomal RNA is filed under the name uncultured bacterium. RNAcentral describes it as "partial 16S ribosomal RNA". It matches the Rfam family "Bacterial small subunit ribosomal RNA", at positions 29 to 507 of the family's 1533-position model. The record is from RNAcentral.